GUCGCUAGCUCAGUUGGUAGAGCAACGGACUUUUAAUCCGCAGGUCCCGGGUUCGAGCCCCGGGCGACCCA
RNAcentral lists this transfer RNA (71 nucleotides) under Actinomycetota bacterium. RNAcentral describes it as "Actinobacteria bacterium tRNA-Lys". It matches the Rfam family "tRNA". From Rfam's summary of the family: Transfer RNA (tRNA) molecules are approximately 80 nucleotides in length. Their secondary structure includes four short double-helical elements and three loops (D, anti-codon, and T loops). The record is from RNAcentral. Lineage: Bacteria; Bacillati; Actinomycetota.